RNAcentral lists this ribosomal RNA (1914 nucleotides) under Staphylococcus aureus. RNAcentral describes it as "partial 23S ribosomal RNA". It matches the Rfam family "Bacterial large subunit ribosomal RNA", at positions 284 to 2196 of the family's 2925-position model. Lineage: Bacteria; Bacillati; Bacillota; Bacilli; Caryophanales; Staphylococcaceae. The record is from RNAcentral.
CUUGCUUGUUGGGGUUGUAGGACACUCUAUACGGAGUUACAAAGGACGACAUUAGACGAAUCAUCUGGAAAGAUGAAUCAAAGAAGGUAAUAAUCCUGUAGUCGAAAAUGUUGUCUCUCUUGAGUGGAUCCUGAGUACGACGGAGCACGUGAAAUUCCGUCGGAAUCUGGGAGGACCAUCUCCUAAGGCUAAAUACUCUCUAGUGACCGAUAGUGAACCAGUACCGUGAGGGAAAGGUGAAAAGCACCCCGGAAGGGGAGUGAAAUAGAACCUGAAACCGUGUGCUUACAAGUAGUCAGAGCCCGUUAAUGGGUGAUGGCGUGCCUUUUGUAGAAUGAACCGGCGAGUUACGAUUUGAUGCAAGGUUAAGCAGUAAAUGUGGAGCCGUAGCGAAAGCGAGUCUGAAUAGGGCGUUUAGUAUUUGGUCGUAGACCCGAAACCAGGUGAUCUACCCUUGGUCAGGUUGAAGUUCAGGUAACACUGAAUGGAGGACCGAACCGACUUACGUUGAAAAGUGAGCGGAUGAACUGAGGGUAGCGGAGAAAUUCCAAUCGAACCUGGAGAUAGCUGGUUCUCUCCGAAAUAGCUUUAGGGCUAGCCUCAAGUGAUGAUUAUUGGAGGUAGAGCACUGUUUGGACGAGGGGCCCCUCUCGGGUUACCGAAUUCAGACAAACUCCGAAUGCCAAUUAAUUUAACUUGGGAGUCAGAACAUGGGUGAUAAGGUCCGUGUUCGAAAGGGAAACAGCCCAGACCACCAGCUAAGGUCCCAAAAUAUAUGUUAAGUGGAAAAGGAUGUGGCGUUGCCCAGACAACUAGGAUGUUGGCUUAGAAGCAGCCAUCAUUUAAAGAGUGCGUAAUAGCUCACUAGUCGAGUGACACUGCGCCGAAAAUGUACCGGGGCUAAACAUAUUACCGAAGCUGUGGAUUGUCCUUUGGACAAUGGUAGGAGAGCGUUCUAAGGGCGUUGAAGCAUGAUCGUAAGGACAUGUGGAGCGCUUAGAAGUGAGAAUGCCGGUGUGAGUAGCGAAAGACGGGUGAGAAUCCCGUCCACCGAUUGACUAAGGUUUCCAGAGGAAGGCUCGUCCGCUCUGGGUUAGUCGGGUCCUAAGCUGAGGCCGACAGGCGUAGGCGAUGGAUAACAGGUUGAUAUUCCUGUACCACCUAUAAUCGUUUUAAUCGAUGGGGGGACGCAGUAGGAUAGGCGAAGCGUGCGAUUGGAUUGCACGUCUAAGCAGUAAGGCUGAGUAUUAGGCAAAUCCGGUACUCGUUAAGGCUGAGCUGUGAUGGGGAGAAGACAUUGUGUCUUCGAGUCGUUGAUUUCACACUGCCGAGAAAAGCCUCUAGAUAGAAAAUAGGUGCCCGUACCGCAAACCGACACAGGUAGUCAAGAUGAGAAUUCUAAGGUGAGCGAGCGAACUCUCGUUAAGGAACUCGGCAAAAUGACCCCGUAACUUCGGGAGAAGGGGUGCUCUUUAGGGUUAACGCCCAGAAGAGCCGCAGUGAAUAGGCCCAAGCGACUGUUUAUCAAAAACACAGGUCUCUGCUAAACCGUAAGGUGAUGUAUAGGGGCUGACGCCUGCCCGGUGCUGGAAGGUUAAGAGGAGUGGUUAGCUUCUGCGAAGCUACGAAUCGAAGCCCCAGUAAACGGCGGCCGUAACUAUAACGGUCCUAAGGUAGCGAAAUUCCUUGUCGGGUAAGUUCCGACCCGCACGAAAGGCGUAACGAUUUGGGCACUGUCUCAACGAGAGACUCGGUGAAAUCAUAGUACCUGUGAAGAUGCAGGUUACCCGCGACAGGACGGAAAGACCCCGUGGAGCUUUACUGUAGCCUGAUAUUGAAAUUCGGCACAGCUUGUACAGGAUAGGUAGGAGCCUUUGAAACGUGAGCGCUAGCUUACGUGGAGGCGCUGGUGGG